RNAcentral lists this ribosomal RNA (468 nucleotides) under uncultured bacterium. RNAcentral's name for it is "partial 16S ribosomal RNA". It matches the Rfam family "Bacterial small subunit ribosomal RNA", at positions 28 to 507 of the family's 1533-position model. The record is from RNAcentral.
GACGAACGCUGGCGGCGUGCUUAACACAUGCAAGUCGAACGGAAAGGCCCUGCUUUUGUGGGGUGCUCGAGUGGCGAACGGGUGAGUAACACGUGAGUAACCUGCCCUUGACUUUGGGAUAACUUCAGGAAACUGGGGCUAAUACCGGAUAGGAGCUCCUGCUGCAUGGUGGGGGUUGGAAAGUUUCGGCGGUUGGGGAUGGACUCGCGGCUUAUCAGCUUGCUGGUGGGGGAGUGGCUUACCAAGGCUUUGACGGGUAGCCGGCCUGAGAGGGUGACCGGCCACAUUGGGACUGAGAUACGGCCCAGACUCCUACGGGAGGCAGCAGUGGGGAAUAUUGCACAAUGGGCGGAAGCCUGAUGCAGCAACGCCGCGUGCGGGAUGACGGCCUUCGGGUUGUAAACCGCUUUCGCCUGUGACGAAGCGUGAGUGACGGUAAUGGGUAAAGAAGCACCGGCUAACUACGUG